CCUACGGGAGGCUGCAGUGGGGAAUAUUGGGCAAUGGACGCAAGUCUGACCCAGCAACGCCGCGUGAAGGAAGAAGGCUUUCGGGUUGUAAACUUCUUUUAAGGGGGAAGAGCAGAAGACGGUACCUCUUGAAUAAGCCACGGCUAACUACGUGCCAGCAGCCGCGGUAAUACGGAGGUGGCAAGCGUUAUCCGGAUUUACUGGGUGUAAAGGGCGUGUAGCCGGGUAGACAAGUCAGAUGUGAAAUCCACGGGCUCAACCCGAGAACUGCAUUUGAAACUGUUGAUCUUGAGUGCGGGAGAGGUAGACGGAAUUCCUUGUGUAGCGGUGAAAUGCGUAGAUAUAAGGAAGAACACCAGUGGCGAAGGCGGACUACUGGACGGUAACUGACGGUGAGGCGCGAAAGCGUGGGGAGCAAACAGGAUUAGAUACCCUUGUAGUC
This 442-nucleotide ribosomal RNA is filed under the name uncultured bacterium. RNAcentral's name for it is "partial 16S ribosomal RNA". It matches the Rfam family "Bacterial small subunit ribosomal RNA", at positions 338 to 795 of the family's 1533-position model. The record is from RNAcentral.